RNAcentral lists this ribosomal RNA (495 nucleotides) under uncultured bacterium. Its description in RNAcentral is "partial 16S ribosomal RNA". It matches the Rfam family "Bacterial small subunit ribosomal RNA", at positions 28 to 507 of the family's 1533-position model. The record is from RNAcentral.
GACGAACGCUGGCGGCGUGCCUAAUACAUGCAAGUAGAACGCUGAAGGAGGAGCUUGCUUCUCUGGAUGAGUUGCGAACGGGUGAGUAACGCGUAGGUAACCUGCCUGGUAGCGGGGGAUAACUAUGGGAAACGAUAGCUAAUACCGCAUAAGAGUAGAUGUCGCAUGACAUUUGCUUAAAAGGUGCAAUUGCAUCACUACCAGAUGGACCUGCGUUGUAUUAGCUAGUUGGUGAGGUAACGGCUCACCAAGGCAACGAUACAUAGCCGACCUGAGAGGGUGAUCGGCCACACUGGGACUGAGACACGGCCCAGACUCCUACGGGAGGCAGCAGUAGGGAAUCUUCGGCAAUGGACGGAAUUCUGACCGAGCAACGCCGCGUGAGUGCAGAAGGUUUUCGGAUCGUAAAGCUCUGUUGUAAGAGAAGAACGAGUGUGAGAGUGGAAAGUUCACACUGUGACGGUACCUUACCAGAAAGGGACGGCUAACUACGUG